GUCCAUGUGGCUGUUAAAGCUGCUGCCACAAUCAGUCUGUUUGUGGCUGUGGUCAUAGUUGUGGUCAUCCACAGGAAGAGAUCAGGGGACCCCCAGGGCAAACCCAACACCUUGGCUCCAAGUGUUCGAUCAGCUGCAACCAGCCAGUCCUUGUAGCCUUGUUCUCCUUAUGGGCUCUUUAGACCCAGCUGUUCACAGAGUCUCCAUCACCUGAGUGCACCUCCAUCCACCGCACAUUAGGAGCUACAGAAUGCCAGGCUGGGGUUUAGGGAGUUAACAGUGUAACUGCUUUAAGUUCUGAAAGUCUGAAAACCUCUCCGAGUGUGUAAGUCCCAUCAUGUCUCUUGUAGUUUUGUAUAACUGAAUGCAAAGCUUCUUUGAAUGUAUACAUCUACUGUGUAGAUGAAGGGAGUGGGCCUGCUGUCUAACCCCUAUAAGACAUUCCUCUUUCACACAGCAUAUAUAGCUUUGUUUCUGUUUAGAUACAGACAAUGCAUUAUACACAUUUAAUACUUUAGCUCACUUACUUUUUAUAUGUACUUCAUAUAGUAUUGUCUGUAUAUGUCUUCAUAUGGAUUUGCUCACUGUUUUCAAAGGUAUGUUGUUGCUUAAAUAAAUAUCACCCGACAUCUUUUUUAUGUACUUGGACUACCACAUUAUCUGCUUUUUCAUAAUAGUCUGUGAGACAACACACGCGUGUGCUGACUAUGAGUUAAGUUUUUAAAAGUGGAAAUUGAAAAGCAUAUGGCUGAAAACCUGUAUGAGAACUGCUUUGUCUGCACUGUCUUUGGUAACCACUAGAGCACUGUUAUCUAAUGGAGGAACUAGCAGCUUAUUCACGUUA
Molecule: long non-coding RNA, 844 nt
Organism: Alosa alosa (allis shad)
Lineage: Eukaryota; Metazoa; Chordata; Actinopteri; Clupeiformes; Clupeidae
Exons: 3
Source: RefSeq, a predicted model, not a curated record